UGAUGAGUUAAGUGACAAUGAAUUUGAACCACAUGGAGCUCGGGCUUAAGGGGAAAGUGUUUUGGUGAAACGCAGCUGGAAUUUCGUCAGCCCCCACCCCCCAGACGGUACAAAAAUAGUCCGGGCCAGGCAGGCUCUGACCCACAGGCCUGGCCCAAUUUCGCCGCCCCCUGUCCCGGAGAGACGCUUGGAGUGGCCUCUUUCCCUGAAUCUGGGUUUCGUAAUCUUUCUUUGUUGUUUUGGUCGCCUGUUUGUUGACUGGCCUGGUUCGUCUGGGAGAAUUUGCUCCCUGACGAGCUCCCUGCUGCUUGGCUUCGAAGAGAGAGCAAGGCAGGAAGACCCUCUCUCGCUGUUGGUAACAAGGCCCAGGGGCUGGAGGCUGGAAAGAUGGUCACAGGCACGGCCCCGGGGCUGGUCGGGAAGCCCUGUGACCUUGGGAAUGUGAGUGGGCAGCGGGGGGCUCCGGACGCGAGGGCGAGAAGUGGGGUUCACCUAAGCAAGAGCCAGAAGGUUCUAUGAACAUCUCAAAUCCAGCCUUGUUCCUCAGAAGGGGAAACUGAGGCCAGAGGCGGGGGGUAGGUGAUUCCAGGCAUCAGAACCUACCAACAGCACAGCCAGGACUCACCCCAAGCAAGGACUUCUGCUUCCCAGCCCAGGGUCUGGCGCCAGGAGGCAUCCAGGGUGUUCGUGGACUGGGAGAAUGCUCAGAGCCUGUCGCGUCCGGUCUUCAGCUGGGAAGGAGACAGAGGGGGAGCUGUGCACCCCAGGCAGACCUAGAAGGUGGUCAGGCAUCUACCACUCUCAGCAUCUAUCAUCACCUUCCCCCAGAUGUGAAUGGUGGGAGCCACUCCUGAGGGCCCCUCCCGAGGUUGGGAAGGGGAGGGGAAGCUACUGAUGUCCUUGCAGACCCACCACCAGGGCCCUUGGGACAGCAGCCCCUGGAGGGAAUGAGAGGCGCCUGCAGGGAGGCCGGGACUGUUGGGAUGGGGACAGAGCCCUCAGUGGCAGCAUCUCUAAGACCAGCUGACGGAGCCGCUGCCCCGACAGCAGGCUGGAGCCCCCCAGAGAGAGCCAAGUCCCCGAGGACCACAGGACAAGACCAGCAUCCAUCCUUCCUACUUUGGUCUCCCCACAUUGGCCAUGGAACCUCAAAUGUACGCAGGAGGCAUGGCCACUGUACCCCCUUCCCCUCUACCACUGUCCCCUGCCCCAUGGAGCCUGGGACCCUGUCUAGAAAGCCCUGCUGGCCUGGCCUGGGCUGCCCCCCCUCACUUCUGAGAGGGGUUCUGCUCCUCCCACUCCUAUUGUCCUCCCCCUUGGCCCUCAGCCAGCCCCCAAGCCCAGGCUGAGCCCACUCCAAGCCAGCCAGUGAGGGAAUGGGGUCGUCAGGCAGGGGCUCUGGGAAGCCUGGGUCUGCCCUAGGAGUUUGAGAAACAGAGGUUUCUCCCCAGCCCUCUUGGCAGCGGUGGGAAUUAGGGGCUCAGUGAGAGGGGUCAGAAGAGGCCUGGAUUUGAAUCUCUUGUCGGGGGUGUGGACAAGUGAUUUACCCGCUCUGAGCCUCGGUUUCUUCAUCUGUAAAAUGGGUAUAUCCAUGGCAUCUUCCUGCCACGCUGUGGGGCUUGAGAUAUUACAUCAUGUAAAAAUGUGCUCGGCACAGAGGAGGAGCCCAGUGAGGUUGGCUGCCAUGUGCAUGCCGAAGAGGGGAGGCGCUCUGGUUGGUGGGAGAGGUUGUUAGAAGUGGCCGUGGGACAAGGAGGGUCAGUCAGAGUAGUCCAGAGACGAGGCCCCAGAAUGCCCUCUCCUCCCUCUGCUUAAUUCCCCAGGCAGCUCAGGCCGUAGCAGAAGCAGGUGGAGGGAGGCCCCCCCUCUAGACUUAUGCAUAUCCACUGAGGCCCCCAGCCACAACCCUAGAAGCUCUCAGUGACCCUCCACACAGCCUGAUCUGCAGACAGUGCCCCCAGCUCAGGACCAGGUGUGACCCCAGAAAGACGAUGCACAGCAGGUGGGCACAAAGCUGACCAUCACAACCCCCUCCCCGCCGCCCCAGACGCCUGCCUUCUAGAAGAGCCAGGGGAACCAGCCCCCUCCCUGGCCAACAGGACUCAGAUUCACGCAAAGCCUCUCUCUGUUUGACUUUGGAGGCCUUGACAAGGCACGGACUGCUCUUCACACCUGGACACCUCAGGCAAAAGCCUGGGAGGGCGGGACAGGACAAGGUGGUCCCUAUGACCAAGCCACUGUCCUCCUGGGCUGGGGACAGCAGCAUCGCUUCUCAGGGCCCAAAAGCCACCCCUGUCUCUGCCUCCCUCUGUCCCUUCUCCAUCUCUGUCUCCAGUGUCCCCCCCCCCCCGCCCACGUGCAGAGAGGCAGUGGUAAAGGAUAUAGACUUUGAACCCAACUCAGCCCCUCCCCCACCCGCCGAUGGCUAAGUGGACCCUAAGCCUCAGGGUCCCCAUCCGUAAAAUGGGUCCGUGGUAACAACAGUACCAGUCACAAGGGAGCCUGCAAUGAGUUAAUACAAGGAAAGCCCUCAGAACGGUAUCUGGCCCAUUGUGAAGACUCAAUAAAUUCUAGCCCUUGUGAUUUUUUAUUUGUGUCUCCGUCCUGCAUGUUUGUUGAGUCAGAUUUUCCAUGGCUGAGGAGGUACAGCAGGAGGCACGAAGCUUGGUGGUUUCCAUUGCCCAUGGCUCCAGGUCCUUCGGGCUGGAGGCUAGAGCAAUAAAGGAUUCCUUUCAACUGGGGCCAGUGAUGCUCUGAUAAGGUGUGACCACAGGAUGCUAACCCGAGCCCCAGGCCUCGGAGGCGGGGCGCAGCAGAGCCCGGGCCAUUCUGGGCGGGAAGGCCCCAAGGCCCUGAGUCCCGGCCACAGGCUGGCGACACUCCUCUGCAUGGUCAGUGCCCUCCCCCCGCCCACCUCCCCGAUCACCCUCUAUGCCCAAGAUCUGGCCUCCACCCCAGGGUUGUUUGUACCUCCUGGCCCAGGAGGCUCAAAGUCUGAGAAAGCAGUGUCUCAGAAGCCUGGAACCUGGGAAUUACAGGGCCGAAGCCUAGCGUGAGGAGCUCACUACCGCAGUGACCGUGACAAG
Molecule: long non-coding RNA, 3086 nt
Filed under: Ursus thibetanus thibetanus
Lineage: Eukaryota; Metazoa; Chordata; Mammalia; Carnivora; Ursidae
Description: lncRNA (ENSUTTG00000009485.1)
Source: RNAcentral